AGUGAUAAUUGCCAAAGCCCUGUUGCCUGUGGAGAGGGUGAUGCUUGACUUUCUUGUACAGCUGCAGUUUGUGUGGUGAAGGUGCUCCCACAAUGUGGUUGGGAUACUACAGGUGGACAUUCAGAUGGUAAUCCCAGUCAUUGUAACACCAAACUCUGAUUGAAUUAGUCAGUUCAUCAGGACCUGUAUGUUCGCAUUGUGUAGACAGGGCUCCAGUGGCUUCAUGGGGACUACAACUCCCACAAUCCCUGAGGCAGGGACCACGCGUGUGUACAUGUACAGAAUGUGGGCACGUUUUGGAACAUAUGCUUUGGGGUGCUAGAUGGUGAGGAUUUGCAGACUGAAAUCUCAAACUCAUGUGCAGAUUGUGAUUAAGUUAACCAGCAUUUGAAGAACCAAAGAUGGAGAAUGACUCCGCCAAAAUCCUGCAACACUCUCCCUCACAGCAUUGUCGGUCUCUCUGCACCAAAUGGACUGUGAAUGGCACAAGACAGCAGCUCACUACCAUCUUCUCAAGGGUAACUAGAGAUGGGGAAUAAAUGCUGGCUGAGCCAGUGAUGCCCAUAUCCUGGAAAUGGGUUCUAUCUCUAGUUGCUGAACCCCAGCUGAUGUUACUGCAGGAUGGUGAGGGAUGCUGAGUGCAUCCUCCAGGAGGCAGCACCAUCACAUUACCCCUGCCUACACCCACACAGUAACACCGCAACGUCACUGGAACAAAAGGCAGUGAAACCAAAGGAGGACUUAGAUAUAGUUCUUUGAGGUAAAGGGGAUUGGAACACAGCAGGAACAGGAGACUGAGCUGGAUGGUCAGCUGUUUCCCAUUGAGUGGUGAAGCAGGAUUGAAAGGCUGAAUGGUCUCCUCCUGCUGCUAUCUCCCAGGUAUGUAUAUAGUCAUGGAGCCCAGGUAGGAAGGAGUGGGCAGGGAUUCUCCAGGAGAUUGCACUUCCACAACAGUGGAGGGAUGGUUUGAUCGAUUUUAUUUAACAUUUAUCUUUAACACUAGAUUUGUAAAUUUUGGCUUAAAAAUGUUGUACAAGUUUUUUUGCACAGCAAAUAAAAUUAAAGAAAAUAAA
This is a long non-coding RNA of Hemiscyllium ocellatum (epaulette shark), 1073 nucleotides long. RefSeq lists it as uncharacterized. The record is from RefSeq and is a predicted model, not a curated record. The transcript has 4 exons. NCBI's taxonomy places the organism in Eukaryota, Metazoa, Chordata, Chondrichthyes, Orectolobiformes, Hemiscylliidae.